This 504-nucleotide long non-coding RNA is filed under the name Homo sapiens (human). RNAcentral's name for it is "HSALNT0342725". Lineage: Eukaryota; Metazoa; Chordata; Mammalia; Primates; Hominidae. The record is from RNAcentral.
AUCACAAGGUCAGGAGAUCGAGACCAUCCUGGCUAACACGAGUCUCUUCACCCCUAGUAUCAGUAUACAGGGGACAUUCAGUUGUUGACUGCCUGAUGAAUGUUUGCCAGUAAUUAGAACUGAGAGACACUCAAAGAUUCUGGACUGUCUUCUGAGCAGAGAAUAAAAAGUAGCUAUCAUCUGCCCACCACAGACAUGAAAAAACAAGAAAGACAGUUUGCAGAGAGGAGAGAAUGAAACAGGACUGUAGAGAGAAGCAGAGACAAGAAAUGGAUCUUCCCAUCUCGUCAUGAGCUUCCACUUCCAGUGCUUGGCCUUUGGACUUUUCUCUUCAUUAUGCCAUUGGCCAGCAGUGUGACCACAUGGAAGCAGCAUGGGCUCUGAAGCCAGGCUGAUGUGUGUCCAGAUCUAAGCCCUGCCGUCUACUAGCUUGGUGAUCUUGGGUAAGUUAUUUAAUCUCUGAGAGUCCCAUUUCCUCAUUUGUAAAAUGGGGAUAGUCAUACU